UUAUACACACAUCUUUUUAAGUUUUAUUUAUACUUCUUAGUUCAAGAAUUACACACUAGUCAACAUUAUUAUAUAUUUACAUGCUGAAACUGGCUGUAAUAAGUUUAAAUUCAAGAAAAUAAUUCUUAUGUGCUACUCAUUUAUAAUCCUCAUUUGUUACUAUCUCAUGUAUCCCAGAGAUUGUAGUAGUCCUGUUUUAGAAAGACAUGAAAAUAGAUGCAAUGAUAUCCACUUGUAUUUUGCAUUUUCUAGCCAUUGGAAAAUGUGCAUUAUGUGCAUAUUAAGAAAGGCUACAAGGUAAUUAGUAAGGCUGAAAAUCACUACAUUGUGAAGAAACUAGAAUAUCACUUGUUAGAAAAGGACAAUUCAGAACUGUGCAGGGACAAUAUUUAAAAUGGAACUAUUUAAACACCCAUGCAAAUAAAAACUUUAAAAUGUCAUGGAAUUUAAAUUAUUUUCAACACUGUUUGAAUUAAUACACUUAAAAUGACCAUUGAACACAAAUUAUUGAAAUAAAAAGAGAAAGAUACAAGCUGAUGGAACUGUCAACUUGCUUCAGAUGGUGCCAGGACACAGAUAUGGGCAUCAGAAUAAUGACACGUGACAAGAGAGAGAGAUUUGGCUUUCAAGUUAAAAAAAACACAAGUUUUUGUUUUUGUUCAUUUUGGAUCACAUUUAACUUUAUCACAAAACAAAUUCUCAAAGCAAAUUAAAAUCUGAUAUUAGCAUUUUGCACACAUCUAUAUAUCUACAGAAAUGUUUUACUUCAACUUUCAAAUAACUAAUAGAUGUUUAAUAUUUUUUUCCCUUAAAUUAUUUCCUUAGGGCAGUAUCUUAAUUAGCAUUCUGUUGGGUCCUUACUACUUUUUUUACAAUGUCCCUCGUAUAUUUGGAAAAUAUUUUUUAAACCUUUGGUGUGAAGCAGUGUCUUUUUUUCUCCUAUUUUCCCUCACUUUUCCAUUUUUCUUUCUUUUUUUAAAAUAAUUAUGGAGUCUUUGGUUAAAAGGAAAAAUGCUAUCUAACGACAAAUGCUAUUAUUAAAAAAAAAAGUCUUCUCUAUGUGCUAUUGUGUAACAUAUAUCUGGAGCAGGUAUAUAAUAAGCAUUUGUUUUUCCUGUAGUGCCAUCAAUAUAAACUUUUAGUCUUUGAAAAUUGAGAUUUAAGUUAUGAACUUUGGUUUCUUAAACUCUUAUGUAUAAAAAGAUCUAUCAAGUAAUCAAUGAUCAUUUCUGCUUUUCCCAUUUCUAAGUUGCCAUUUCUAAGGCUAUCUCUUGGUUGUUAUAAACACUACAGUGUUUCCCAUAGAUGGGGUAUGAGUGGGAGUGGCAAGAAAAAGUGUGUGUGUGUGUGUGUGUGAGAGAGAGCGAAUUAAAACCCUUCUGUCUGGGAUCCCAAAGCAUUUAUGCAAAAGAGUGUUUUAAUUUCUCUGCUGGGGCUGCAGUAACUAUUUUUACUUAGUAAAAAUUAAAUAAAAACUAAAAAAGAAAAAAACUAAACAAUGAUUUGUAUCUAUUGAC
Molecule: long non-coding RNA, 1517 nt
Organism: Bos taurus (domestic cattle)
Lineage: Eukaryota; Metazoa; Chordata; Mammalia; Artiodactyla; Bovidae
Source: Ensembl